Molecule: ribosomal RNA, 396 nt
Filed under: uncultured bacterium
Lineage: Bacteria
Description: partial 16S ribosomal RNA
Rfam family: Bacterial small subunit ribosomal RNA
Source: RNAcentral
AUACGUAGGGAGCGAGCGUUGUCCGGAAUUACUGGGUGUAAAGGGAGCGUAGGCGGGACUGCAAGUCAGAUGUGAAAUACCGGGGCUUAACCCCGGAGCUGCAUUUGAAACUGUGGUUCUUGAGUGAAGUAGAGGCAAGCGGAAUUCCUGGUGUAGCGGUGAAAUGCGUAGAUAUCAGGAGGAACACCGGUGGAGAAGGCGGCUUGCUGGGCUUUUAAUGACGCUGAGUCUCGAAAGCGGGGGUAGCAAACAGGAUUAGAUACCCUGGUAGUCCACGCUGUAAACGAUGAUUACUAGGUGUGGGGGGACUGACCCCUUCCGUGCCGCAGUUAACACAAUAAGUAAUCCACCUGGGGAGUACGGCCGCAAGGUUGAAACUCAAAGGAAUUGACGGGG